RNAcentral lists this non-coding RNA (122 nucleotides) under Mycobacterium sp. Its description in RNAcentral is "SAM-IV sequence". It matches the Rfam family "SAM (S-adenosyl methionine) riboswitch aptamer". From Rfam's summary of the family: SAM-IV is a mRNA element that regulates gene expression via direct sensing of S-adenosylmethionine (SAM or AdoMet). SAM-IV riboswitches share conserved nucleotide positions with the previously described SAM-I riboswitches sequence analysis and molecular recognition experiments suggest that SAM-I and SAM-IV riboswitches share similar ligand binding sites, but have different scaffolds. RNAcentral also lists the same sequence under 1 other name. The record is from RNAcentral. Lineage: Bacteria; Bacillati; Actinomycetota; Actinomycetes; Mycobacteriales; Mycobacteriaceae.
GGUCAUGAGUGCCAGCGUCAAGCCCCGGCUCGCUGGCCGGCAACCCUCCAACCGCGGUGGGGUGCCCCGGGUGAAGAGACCAGGUUGAGUGUCCGAGAAACGGACACCGGCAAGCGCGGGUC